Molecule: long non-coding RNA, 3401 nt
Organism: Anas platyrhynchos (mallard)
Lineage: Eukaryota; Metazoa; Chordata; Aves; Anseriformes; Anatidae
Source: RefSeq, a predicted model, not a curated record
GCUCGCCUCAGCCCUACCUGAGCGCCGCGGCCGCUCCGCCGCAUCGGGACCCGAGUGUGGCGGAUCCGGGACCGGACCCGGGACCGGGACCGGGUUUGGGGCAGGGUUUGGGGCCGGGGGAGGCGGCCUCGCGUGCGAAGGGAGCUCGGCAGCGGUGCUGCUUUGAGUCAGGGCCGGCCGCGGCGGCGGGGGAGAGCGGGCUGCGGCUGAAAGAGAGAGCGGCGCUGAGUGAUCUCCGGCCGGCGCCUGGCACGCAAGGGCUUGGCGGCUCCCCCCCCCCCCAUAUACACACACACACACACCGUGCCCACCGAGCCCUGAGGGGAGAAAGGUGGCAAAAAGGGGCGUCGGAGGGGGUAAAUUUGAUGUUUCGGCUUGCUGCUCCCCAAGGGCUGCCGCUGGUUGUCAGCCCUCCCCCGCGCAGCAGCGCUCGUCAGCAGCAAGGUGUGAUUUUGCCAUGUCCUGCAGAGAUCAGGAACACCCGAGGUGUUAUUCAUCCCUCUCAGAAACGACAGCAAACAGACAGCUCUGAAGGUUUCGUCUCAAUGGAUUCAGUUGAACCAGUUAUACCACAAGCCUUCCCGAAGCUGUUUUAGCAUGGAAUUCACAGCAAGUGCUGCUCUGCUCCAGCUAUGCCACAAUUCAGUAGAGAAGUGACACCGGCUUGCAUCGACAAAGCAAUACAACCAGCUCAAAACACAAGGUGAAUUCCCCUCUACUUUCCAAACUUUUCCUUACCAAUUUUUUUUUAGCAGCACAUACAAAGAGAAGUCAGAAGCAUCAGUUUCCAGGACACAUAACUCUAAGGACAUAUUGAUAAGACCCAUGACUUUCAUUCUUUUAAGAAGGAAAUACACGUGGAGUGCCCAGGCAGUGAGAACAAGCCGUGUCCUGAGAAGUUGCAGGAUGGUGAAUGCAGGAGUGGAUUUAAGCUACAGAGCUUUGCCUGCAAGGGUUACAUUCGGGAAGAAAGAGAGAGGCUGAGCAGACAUGCAAAACAAGCAGGUAGAAAAUUAUUUCUGUAGCAGAAAGGACUGAAGUUUCUUUUUUUUUUCUUUUUUUUUUUUUUUUCAUGUGGUCAAUAUGCUUAUCAGCACAAACUGCGAUUUUCUAAGCCUUUUUCUCAGUACUGGUGCAUUACUGUAAUUCAUAUAUGCAUGUGGCACAUUCAUGCGUGACCAGGGAAGCGGAACUUGUCUAAGCAAAACUGGCAGCAAUAAAGAAAUCUGCAAAAUAGGUCUGCAAAAGUGGUGAAGUAGCUAAAGGUGAAAGAGCUUGCUGCUCUGCAUAGGGACUGAUUUCACUCCAGCUGUGCAUGAUGCCACGUACCUGCUGAGACACAGAAAAUAUGAAAAGAGAUUUGUUAUUCAAGACAACUGGUUAAGUGCAAAUUUACAUCAAUAGCUGAUCCAACUAAUAAUUAAGAAACAAACAACCCCUAAAACGUAGGAAUACCAUUUGCCCAAACGACCACCGUGCUGUAUUAUUUGCAGCCUGCCAAAUAGCUUCAACAGGACAACAGCUAGAGCACGUUUGGGUUUGUGCUGAAGCAAACUCCUCUUGUAGGGGAGACCUUAGAAGAGGAAGUUGAGGGUGGGACAACAGGAAACUUUGGAGAAUCAGGUACUGCUGCCAAUAAGUCUUUCUGACCCAUAAGAAAGAAAGUGGAUAGGUACAUUUUCAGUAUCCAGUGCUCCAUGCCAAAGAAAGCCUUCCUGCUCAAUUAGGACUUUCUUUCCCCCAUCAUAAGGCUGCCAAAGCAAUACAACUACUGAAGCUUGACAAUGGCAAAGCCUGGUCUCUCGACAAGGUCAAAUGCUGUUGUAAAUUGUGGACUGCAGGGUAAAAUCCAAAGCUAGAACGGUGCUUGUAGAGACAGGGCAGCUCUUCCACCAGCGCUAGUGGGAGGUUGGAGCAGAGAUACAGGAUGAAAUAUAGCUGUUGUCUGUUAUUUAGCCUUUUGUCAGCUAUUGGAAGGGGUUGCCUUGAGGCUGCUAAUUCUUCUUCCUUCAACCUCUUUUGCUUCUCCCUCCUCUGUCACCCCCCACUUUUCCCCUUGCUCUCUUCCAUACGUCCAUGACAGCUGAACACUAAUGUCCCCCUUUUGCUGCUUCCUCUACUUAUUGCUGAUUACCAGAUAACCUAGAAAUAGUGUCAGGGAGCAGCAAGUGCUGGGCUGCUCCAAGAGGGAGGACAAGCCAAGAGCCAGCAGGGACCGCAGUAUGGGCAGUGACACUCCCGUAACUCUGACCCCAGCGAGUGGAAACCAAACAGAGAUGUGCCCUAAAGGACAGCAGUGCUGCUUUGCAGUUUUUAGGCAAAUCUCCUUUUGUCAGCCGUAGAAAUGCUCUCCCUUCUGAGCAGUAGCCCUGCACAUGUGCCCGUGACUGCUAGAUCUCGUGACUAGCAGUGUCUUGUUUUAGCUUCUGCUGCGGUCUCCCGCUGUGAUUUCAGACAUCGCCUACUUGUUUCUCCUUCCUUGAUGACCAGGUAGGUGGAUUUCUUUACUUAACGUGGGUAUCUGAGAUAAGGCACUGUUACACAGGGCUGGCAAGGACCUUCUAGGUCUUCAAAAACAGCUCUGGGCAUAGGCGCCCAUCUCAUAAACUGAUCACUCUCCAUCCUGAACCUACUGAGGGAUUUUCCCCUCCUUUCUCCUUUGGAAAGGCUCCCUCCCUGCUUGGAUGAUGAAUCGUGCUUUCGGAGUCCUACUCAGACUGAGGCACAGUUUGGUUUACUGCACUUGUUUUCCCAAGUGAUUUGAAAUCACUUCAGACACUUGAUGCAGGUGCACCUGCUUGCUUCUUAUCUAACCAAGGAGCCCAAUCAGUAGGACUCAGCACUCCCUUGUCUGUCUUGAUGUGAGGUUAUGAUUGCCAUGCUGUGGCUACCCGAAAAGAUGUUCAGGUAGUUAUCCUGUCCUGUCCUGUUCCCCCACCCACCAAGAGGAGCCUGAACUUAGUUAAAUGUGCCUGUACUGUCAGGGUUUGUUACUACAGCCUGCAACGACUUAUUGCGAAUCGCAGCUAUGUUCUCAGCACAAUGUGGUGCCAACGUGGAUGUGAUUUAAUAACAAUCAAUACAAGUAGGAAACCUAAGGAAGUGUAACAACAAGAAUUUUUUUAUUAGAGGGUCAAUAGCCAAGUCAUUCAGGAAGAAUUAAUUUUCAAGAUUUGGCUACAGAAGAGCUCUGCAAUCUCAUUGCCUUCCCCAUGCCCAGCAGCUUUAUUAUUAUUAUUACUUUUUUUUUCGGGGGAGACUUCAGCAGGUUUCUUCCAUCCUUGGGUCUUUGACGCUGGGUUCCCUCUAGUGGCAUUAACAGGAGCAUCGAUUCUGUGUUAUUGACUGAUCUGGGUCCGUAGAAGGGGCAGGGGGAAGAGGACACUGCAGGAUGCUACCAA